UCAAAAUUCCUUCAUUCUUUCACUUUUCCCUUUCUUCCUCCCACUCUCCCCCAAAACCCUAGAAGGUCAGAAAAUCAUCUUCUCCCUUCAACGUCCUUCUUUCUCUCACAUCAGCUCCGUUCCUCUUCAACAUCCUUCAACAUCUUGCGACGUCGGUCCUAUUGUUAUGAGCCGGCAGUCGUCUUGAUGUGUGACGCCGUCGGAAGGGUUGUUGUGUGUCGCAUCUCAACUGAUUCAUCUUCAAAGUCUAAGCUGAUUUUGUUCAUGUGGAAAUGGAUAAUGAAGAAGUUGGAAAGCCUGUUGCAGAUUAUUUUGGUUGGUGAUGUGUAUGUUCUAUUCAGGUUAUAGCUUAAGCACUUAGUAUUUAAGCGCUUAAGCACUCUGAAAACAUCACAACCAUUCAAGACGUAGCUGAUUUGAUAGAGAAGUUGAUUUGAUGUAGAGGUUAAACCCACUUGUGUUAGUAACUCGGUUCUGGUUUAAUGUUUUGGUUCAGCUUAAGUUUGCAUUUGAUUUCGAAUCAGGUGUUGUUUUGUUUCGAUAAUCGAUAGUUCAUUGCAACGUUUGAAUUGGUUCAUAAUUAAGUUACAACAUUAGUUUUUGUGAUGUUAAUUUAGAUUGAACUGGUAUGAACGGUGUUGCAGCAGAUAUGCAUUGCUUUGCUGCAGAUUUUUGUGAUGUGGCCUUAGCAGGUCCGGUGCCGGUUUACACAAUUAGGUGCAGGAUUGAUGAAAAUGAUGUUUGGAGAUUGUGAGGCAUGAAGAUUAGCAUGAUGAUGAUGAUGUUGCAAGGCUGAUUCGCGAGUAUGUUCAUGAAGGUAUGUAUGCAUAUUUUAUGCUAUGCUUCAAUGGAGGAAAUUGGAAGCAAAUUCUAACUUUGCUUUUACAAGACAUCAAGGAAGGGAAGCUAUAUGGGCUCUCUUGAUAGAAAGAAUGAUUAUUUCGAUAAUAACUACGGCGAUGAAGAAAAAGCUGGAGGAGGAGAUGAUACUGGUGAAAAGAAUAAGCCUUCUACUCGAUGUUUCAGCCAUGGAUAUCAUUUAAUGGAAGGAGAAAUGAGUCAUGGAAUGGAAGACUAUGUUUUCGCUCAAUGCAGGAAACUAAAAGGUUAUGAUUUAGGAUUGUACACAAUAUUCGAUGGACACGCAGGUUGUCAUGUUGCAAAAUAUUUGCAAAAACAUCUAUUUAAAAAUAUACUCAAUGAGGGAUAGCCUGAUUUCUGGGAGAAUCCAAUGCAUGCUGUUAAGAAAGCAUGUAAAGCUACCAACAAGGAGAUAUUAGAAAACAUAGCUGAUCGGCGCGGAGGUUCAAUCGAUGUAGCAGCAAUAUUAAUUAAUGGAGUGAAGCUAAUUGUAAUCAAUGUUCCUGAAUUAUAUCAUUUAUAGCAAGAAAAAAAGAAAAAGAAGUAUUAUUGCCAUUCUUCAAGAAAAUAGGGUGUUACAACAAAAUAGGAAUAUACAAAAACAGAACAAUGCACCAGGUGACUUCCCAAAUUUUCUUAGAAAAGGUUGGAGCAGACAUUGUUAAAAGAGCUCUUAUCUACCGUCUGAAAUUAAAUGCUAAGAAUGUCGGUGUAAAUGGUUAUGUCCAUCGACAAUCCCAAAUAUGGUUAUAAUGCUACCACAGGAAAAUAUGAAGAUUUAAUGGCUGCAGGGAUCAUUACGAUAAUUUUCAUGGAUUCACCUUACAUUUGGUUCACCUAGGUAGUUUGUGGCUGUUUCCCAAGUUGGGCUUCCCUUACCUGACAGCGUGGGAUUAUCUCGGUAAGAUUAAUUGCAUCAUCUCAAUAUUAUGCAAAAACACAAGACAAUAUUUUUUGAAUCAGAGUUGUUGUUCUAACAAUAAUGACCAUAAUCUAUAUAUACAUAUUUGGAUAACAAUUUGCUUAUCGUCAUUUGAUUCAGCUUUAGGAGUUAUUUUCCCGUCAACCGACACAGUAUGUACGCUACAGGUUGGUUAGAUUUGUGAAUAGCUUUAUUAAUUUAGUUAUAUAUCGACAUAAUCUUAGUUUCAGUACUGCAUUUGGAGGCUCUUGUAGGUUCUUAAUCAAGAAGCUACUCCUUUACUAUACAGCUGAGUCCUUGGGGAAGGUUCUGUCCAGCGAUAAUCCCAAAUAUGAUUAUAAUGCUACCACCGGCAAAUAUGAAGAUUUAAUGGCUGCAGGGAUCAUUCAUCCAACAAACGUGAUUUAUAGUUGGAGUGCUUUUAAUUUAUAUGCAAGGAGUAUUAAAAAUAGAUUAAUAGUCAGGUAGUAUUAAAGAUAUAUAUUCUAAUUUAUAUUCAAUUUAAAAGAUAUUCAUAAGAUACUCAAUUUAUGUGCAGGGAAUAUUUUAAAAAUAUAUUCAAUUUAAAAGGUAGUUUUAAUAAAGAAUAAUUUCAAUUGUGCAUAUUUUUUUCUGUAAAUAACUAUUUACACGGUUUAUUUUUUGGUUUUGCUGAACCGAUUUUGUAUUAUGCAGGUUAUUGGUGUAGUUAAUAGGAUGUAAAAAAUUGUUAGUCUAUCUUAUGCAGAAUUUUGAAUGUUGUUGGAUGAGUUUCUCUUUUAUUUUCUGCUGCAGGGUCUUUGUGUAUAUAUAUUUAUUAAAAAAAAGAACUAUUCAAAUAUGAUAUUUAUUGCAAAAGUUGCACAGGUUUUAGAGCUGUGCAGAGCUAUACAUAUUUUAGGCAAAAAGGUUGUGGCGUGGAAAAAUCAACUAACACAGUUACACAUUGUUUUUAAACCCAUGAUUAAACACAUAUACUUAGGCAUACAAUAGGUACUAUAUUUUAAGUAAAAAAUUGCUAUACAUUUGUGUUGUCAAUACAACUACAUGAGUAUAUAAUGGUAUGCUAUGUUGUAGACUUAGUUACACAAAUUAAAUAAAUUUAUACAAUAAUUAGUUAACUAGCAAAGUAUGGCUUAUUUUAGUCACUAAAUAUUUGUAAAAGAAAUAUUAAGUCAAAGUUAUUUUUAUGAACGAUCUUUGCAAAUCAUUGGUCUUUUUAGAAGAACCAUUUCAAUAAU
This is a long non-coding RNA of Vicia villosa (hairy vetch), 3003 nucleotides long. RefSeq lists it as uncharacterized. The transcript has 8 exons. NCBI's taxonomy places the organism in Eukaryota, Viridiplantae, Streptophyta, Magnoliopsida, Fabales, Fabaceae. The record is from RefSeq and is a predicted model, not a curated record.